CCUACGGGAGGCAGCAGUGAGGAAUAUUGGUCAAUGGACGCGAGCCUGAACCAGCCAUGCCGCGUGCAGGAAGACUGCCCUACGGGUUGUAAACUUCUUUUAUACGAGGAUAAACUGAGACACGUGUGCCUGUUUGUAAGUACUUUAUGAAUAAGGAUCGGCUAACUCCGUGCCAGCAGCCGCGGUAAUACGGAGGAUCCACCCGUUAUCCGGAUUUAUUGGGUUUAAAGGGAGCGUAGAUGGGUUGUUAAGUCAGUGGGGAAAGUGUGCGGCUCAACCGUAAAAUUGCAAUUGAUACUGGAAGUCUUGUGGACAGUUGAGGUAGGAGGAAUUCGUGGUGUAGCGGUGAAAUGCUGAGAUAUCACGAAGAACGCCGAUUGCGAAGGCAGCUUACUAAACUGCCACUGACAGUGAUGCUCGAAAGUGUGGGUAUCAAACAGGAUUAGAUACCCCAGUAGUC
RNAcentral lists this ribosomal RNA (460 nucleotides) under uncultured bacterium. RNAcentral's name for it is "partial 16S ribosomal RNA". It matches the Rfam family "Bacterial small subunit ribosomal RNA", at positions 338 to 795 of the family's 1533-position model. The record is from RNAcentral.